Long non-coding RNA from Sorghum bicolor (sorghum), 696 nucleotides. RefSeq lists it as uncharacterized. The transcript is spliced from 3 exons. The record is from RefSeq and is a predicted model, not a curated record. NCBI's taxonomy places the organism in Eukaryota, Viridiplantae, Streptophyta, Magnoliopsida, Poales, Poaceae.
UCCAACAGCCUCGCUCCUGCGCAAGGGUGUGCCCAAACCCUAGCCGCCCUCUUCCGAUCUCUCCCCUCUGACUCGCCAUACAUAGCUGCGGCGGCGGCGGCGCGCGGCCAUGGAGACUCAGUGGUGGGCGCGGCCGUGCUCGCGUGCUCGGAGCUGCAAACUAGAGGCGCCGAUGUGAACCGAGGAGGAAGAGGUCUUCCGUGUGGAUCUCAGCGACGGCGUUUAGUCCCACGACUUGUUCCACCAGAUCCAGGUGCCCGGCGAUGAGGAUGAGGAGCAGCGACUUGCACCAGUAGAUCCAGAUGUCUAGGAAUGAGGAUGAGAAGCGGUGCCCUGGCAUACGGUAGAAAUCUCCAUGAAUGGUGGCUUUCUACCGUAACUUCCCCUUGGUUCCCCCUCAAAUCGAUCUUCAAUUUUUAGCCUUUCAAGUGAAGUUCAAUUUUGCAUUCCAUUCAUGGAAUAGUUACUGGAAUCUUAUGGAAAUAAAAAAGGAGACGCUAAGGAAAAUCUUUUGACUUGUGUGGCUGACGUUUUUAUGCAGUUAACAUACACAUAGGAUUAGUUUAUGCCAAAUAAAGUAAAUGGCACUUUGUAAGGUGGGCAUAGGUGUAAUUUCUUGUCAAAAUUUUCCUUUUUUGGGUAUCACUUACACUAGAGGUUGAAACAAUGAUUCCAUAUACAGGAUGCCAAUUAUAG